GACGAACGCUGGCGGCGUGCCUAAUACAUGCAAGUCGAGCGAAUGACGAGAAGCUUGCUUCUCUGAUUUAGCGGCGGACGGGUGAGUAACACGUGGGCAACCUGCCCUACAGAUCGGGAUAACUCAGGGAAACCUGGGCUAAUACCGGAUAAUCCUUCGAAUCACAUGUUUUGAAGUUGAAAGGCGCUUCGGCGUCACUGUAGGAUGGGCCCGCGGUGCAUUAGCUAGUUUGUGGGGUAACGGCCUACCAAGGCAACGAUGCAUAGCAGACCUGAGAGGGUGAUCGGCCACAUUGGGACUGAGACACGGCCCAAACUCCUACGGGAGGCAGCAGUAGGGAAUCUUCCACAAUGGACGAAAGUCUGAUGGAGCAACGCCGCGUGAGUGAUGAAGGUUUUCGGAUCGUAAAACUCUGUUGUAAGGGAAGAACAAGUACGUUAGGAAAUGAACGUACCUUGACGGUACCUUAUUAGAAAGCCACGGCUAACUACGUGCCAGCCGCCGCCGUAA
RNAcentral lists this ribosomal RNA (510 nucleotides) under uncultured bacterium. Its description in RNAcentral is "partial 16S ribosomal RNA". It matches the Rfam family "Bacterial small subunit ribosomal RNA", at positions 28 to 523 of the family's 1533-position model. The record is from RNAcentral.